Arachis duranensis is the source of this 158-nucleotide long non-coding RNA. RefSeq lists it as uncharacterized. NCBI's taxonomy places the organism in Eukaryota, Viridiplantae, Streptophyta, Magnoliopsida, Fabales, Fabaceae. The transcript has 3 exons. The record is from RefSeq and is a predicted model, not a curated record.
UAUUUUGCAACAAUAAGCUGGAAGGUCCCCUGCCAAAUAUUACUGGAACGAGCUCCCUGAAAUACUUGGAUUUGAGCAGCGAUGCCUUUGAUAGCACAGAUUUUUCACAAUGGCUUUUGACUAUGAAGAAUUUAACAACAUUGAGGCGAACCUGUCUG